GACGAACGCUGGCGGCGUGGAUUAGGCAUGCAAGUCGAACGGUAGGAUACCUUCGGGUAUCUGAGAGUGGCGAACGGGUGAGUAACACGUAGGUGAUCUACCCUCAAGAUUGGGACAACCCAGGGAAACUUGGGCUAAUACCGGAUGAAAGCAGCAGUGAUGUUGUUUGAAAGGUGGCGUAAGCUGCCGUUUGGGGAUGAGCCUGCGCUCUAUUAGUUAGUUGGCGGGGUAAAGGCCCACCAAGGCGAUGAUAGAUAGGCGGCCUUAACGGGUGGUCGCCCACACUGGGAUUGAGAUACGGCCCAGACUCCUACGGGAGGCAGCAGUCGAGAAUAGUCUACAAUGGCCGAAAGGCUGAUAGUGCGACGCCGCGUGAACGAAGAAGCCCUUCGGGGUGUAAAGUUCUUUUAUAUGUGAGCAGUGCUUUCUAUGUGAACAGCAUGGGGAGAGAGGUAUUAGCAUAUGAAUAAGCAACGGCUAACUCCGUGCCAGCAGCCG
Molecule: ribosomal RNA, 498 nt
Filed under: uncultured bacterium
Lineage: Bacteria
Description: bacterial SSU rRNA
Rfam family: Bacterial small subunit ribosomal RNA
Source: RNAcentral